AUUGAACGCUGGCGGCAGGCCUAACACAUGCAAGUCGAGCGGAUGAAGGGAGCUUGCUCCUGGAUUCAGCGGCGGACGGGUGAGUAAUGCCUAGGAAUCUGCCUGGUAGUGGGGGAUAACGUCCGGAAACGGGCGCUAAUACCGCAUACGUCCUGAGGGAGAAAGUGGGGGAUCUUCGGACCUCACGCUAUCAGAUGAGCCUAGGUCGGAUUAGCUAGUUGGUGGGGUAAAGGCCUACCAAGGCGACGAUCCGUAACUGGUCUGAGAGGAUGAUCAGUCACCCUGGAACUGAGACACGGUCCAGACUCCUACGGGAGGCAGCAGUGGGGAAUAUUGGGCGAUGGGCGAAAGCCUGAUCCAGCCAUGCCGCGUGUGUGAAGAAGGUCUUCGGAUUGUAAAGCACUUUAAGUUGGGAGGAAGGACAGUACGUUUAUACCUUGCUGUUUUGACGUUACCAACAGAAUAAGCACCGGCUAACUUCGUG
Molecule: ribosomal RNA, 484 nt
Filed under: uncultured bacterium
Lineage: Bacteria
Description: partial 16S ribosomal RNA
Rfam family: Bacterial small subunit ribosomal RNA
Source: RNAcentral